AGCUCCAGCUGGCUCCUCUGCUAGUCUUGCCGCAGUCACCAGUUAUGGAGGAAUGGGAGAGGAGCUUUCCACUUCUCUGAGAGUCAUGUCGAGAGUCUGUCUUAGCCCUCGACCCCUCAGUCUUUGUAGAUCUCAUCCCAGGACCCCGAGGGAGAGGCUCUUGUUUGCACCAAGUGUGGGGUGCAGCAAAGUGGACUCGGGACUGGCCGAUGUCUGGCCAGAAAUGCCAGGCAAGGGAAACAGUGACUCUAGUGGGGUCAGGAGAGGGGCAUCUGCUGGCCCAGGAGCGCAAGGCAGAGGGGAGCUCAUGGCACUUGAAAAUAUGGGCUUUGCAUCAUGCAGGUGGGUAGCGAUGAGGGCUACCCUUGCUUGCUUGGGAGGCAGAGGGGGCUCAGAGGUGGGAGGUAAAAAAGCUUGCAGCUUCUGAGAAGCUGUGGGU
Molecule: long non-coding RNA, 439 nt
Filed under: Gorilla gorilla gorilla (western lowland gorilla)
Lineage: Eukaryota; Metazoa; Chordata; Mammalia; Primates; Hominidae
Description: lncRNA (ENSGGOG00000044554.1)
Source: RNAcentral